Molecule: transfer RNA, 69 nt
Filed under: Euthrix laeta
Lineage: Eukaryota; Metazoa; Arthropoda; Insecta; Lepidoptera; Lasiocampidae
Description: tRNA-Arg
Source: RNAcentral
AAAUAAGAAGCAAUAUUUGCAUUUAAUUUCGACUUAAAAGAAAGAGUUAGUUUAUUAACUCCUUAUUUA